GGGGUUGUGGCUCAGUGGUAGAGCGCUCGUCUGGCAUGCAUGAGUCAUUGGGUUUGAUCCUCAGCACCA
This 69-nucleotide transfer RNA is filed under the name Ictidomys tridecemlineatus (thirteen-lined ground squirrel). RNAcentral describes it as "Spermophilus tridecemlineatus (thirteen-lined ground squirrel) tRNA". It matches the Rfam family "tRNA". Rfam says of the family: Transfer RNA (tRNA) molecules are approximately 80 nucleotides in length. Their secondary structure includes four short double-helical elements and three loops (D, anti-codon, and T loops). Further hydrogen bonds mediate the characteristic L-shaped molecular structure. tRNAs have two regions of fundamental functional importance: the anti-codon, which is responsible for specific mRNA codon recognition, and the 3' end, to which the tRNAs corresponding amino acid is attached (by aminoacyl-tRNA synthetases). tRNAs cope with the degeneracy of the genetic code in two manners: having more than one tRNA (with a specific anti-codon) for a particular amino acid; and 'wobble' base-pairing, i.e. permitting non-standard base-pairing at the 3rd anti-codon position. Lineage: Eukaryota; Metazoa; Chordata; Mammalia; Rodentia; Sciuridae. The record is from Rfam by way of RNAcentral.